GCAAAGUCUUGUGAGGGAAGUGAGUUGUUAUCUUUGGUUAUCUAGCUGUAUGAGUGUAUUGGUCUUCAUAAAGCUAGAUAACCGAAAGUAAAAACUCCUUCAAGAUCUUCGAGGAGCGUAUGAAAAUGAAAGACCACUUCAAGAAACAGU
This 150-nucleotide microRNA precursor is filed under the name Sarcophilus harrisii (Tasmanian devil). RNAcentral describes it as "microRNA sha-mir-9 precursor". Its record names the gene sha-mir-9. The stretch from base 22 to 97 matches the Rfam family "mir-9/mir-79 microRNA precursor family". Rfam says of the family: The mature ~21nt miRNAs are processed from hairpin precursor sequences represented here. miR-9 is processed from the 5' arm of its precursor, and miR-79 from the 3' arm. The bounds of the precursors are predicted based on conservation and base pairing and are not generally known. The record is from miRBase by way of RNAcentral. Lineage: Eukaryota; Metazoa; Chordata; Mammalia; Dasyuromorphia; Dasyuridae.